GCCGGCGCUUGCUCCGUGGAUGCUUUAUUGGGUGAAAUGCAUAGAUGAUUGUGAUGGGUUCGAGUCCCAUCGCCGGCUCCA
Molecule: transfer RNA, 81 nt
Filed under: Opitutaceae bacterium
Lineage: Bacteria; Pseudomonadati; Verrucomicrobiota; Opitutia; Opitutales; Opitutaceae
Description: tRNA-OTHER
Source: RNAcentral